Gorilla gorilla gorilla (western lowland gorilla) is the source of this 1055-nucleotide long non-coding RNA. RefSeq lists it as uncharacterized. Lineage: Eukaryota; Metazoa; Chordata; Mammalia; Primates; Hominidae. The transcript has 5 exons. The record is from RefSeq and is a predicted model, not a curated record.
GGAUACACAUAUAUCCCUGGUUCAGUACUCAGGUGAUGUGACUCUCCUGCCUGCUUCUGCCUACAGGCACAGUAUCCGACAACUGGGAUUGCCACUCUCACACAUGGACAAAGCCCACAGGUGGGGACUGGUGAGAGGUGGAUGAAUUAUAGAGAUGGAUUUCUCAUGGCUCUGUGCUGUCCUUGUCACACAGAGGCCCCUUACUGGACUUGGACCGAGUGGAUGGACAGGAAACCACCAACCAUGGUGGCCACCCAAACCAACUUUCACUGCCUUACUCUUGAAACCCCACUCUCUCCAUCUCCUGGCUGAAGAACCACAAGAGCUCUAAGGAGAGCAUCACAUCAGCAUAUGGAGGGCUUCUGGACAGCCAGAUGCAGCAAAAUGGAAAUCCACUGCAAAUUCUCUAGCAACUUAGUAUGUGGAGGUGAACAUCAGCAAAGUGGGUGUCAACGGCAUGCCCUAUGUCACCAUGCUCAGGGGAGAUGCUGCUGCUGGCCAGGAGCAUGGGGAUAGCAGGCCUGAGGCUCCACUUUACAGAACUCUACCAUCAUUAUAAAAGUUUUGGAGUAGCCUAUGAAAGACAGAACAUGUCAUCAGCUAGGAGACAAAAUCCUCUACAGUGAGCAGUUAUCCUGGAUAUAAACUUGGUGCUGGUUCAUUUAGCAUCUGUGAUGAACCAAUGUCUAAAAUGAGAGUCAGUUUCUCCUAAAGUAAGAUUACAUGAGUCAACCGAUAAAAGUGGGAAUCACUCCUGUGAGUAUUGUCCCUCAUAAUUCAUUCAAAAGCAUUUGCUUCUGUCUUUGCAGCUUUAUGCUCUCCAAAUUCCCACACCGAGUAAAAACCUCCUUGGCAAGCUUAUAAUCAAUCUCACAUAUUUAACAAUUUGGAUUUUAUAUUAAGAUCCACUAUAAAAUAUGGAAGAAAAUCUGUUUGAUUUACAGUAGAUGUAAAAUAGAAAAACUAGAAUGGGCUACUCUGCACAUGUAGAAUUAGUUCCUUUUAUAUUUAUGAGUUUUCUACCAACCUGUAUUUAUUACACCAAAAAUAAUGCU